Molecule: unclassified non-coding RNA, 946 nt
Filed under: Hevea brasiliensis (rubber tree)
Lineage: Eukaryota; Viridiplantae; Streptophyta; Magnoliopsida; Malpighiales; Euphorbiaceae
Source: RNAcentral
AAGAUCAUCCAUCAUGUCAUCAUUACUGCCUCCCUGGACUGCAGAUCGGGAGCCUGCUGAUUUUCUGAUCAGAGCAUCUUCUUUUCCGGCACGGGGUGACUCCUCGGGCUCCACUGCGACUGGAAUCAUGGCAGGUUCUGGCUCUGACAAAACAACUGUAGGUUUCUUCAAAUCAUCGUACUUCGAAAGGGCUUUUUGGACUUCAUCAUUUACGUUCAGGGCUUCAAAAAGGAGGGCCUCAUUAUCCCCAGCAGUCUCGAUGAUUCUCUGAACAAUAUUGAGGGACUGGCGACACUGUUGUACUAGCGUCACUGUCAAGUCAUCCUGCAGAGCAUCCUGCUGAGGUGAAGAGGACAGAACAGUUGUCAGAAGUUCUAUACUGUUUCUAGCCACAUCAAAUACCUCCUUUGUAUUUUCAGCUGUGAAGUUCUCCCGUGGAAUCUCAUGUUGGAUUUGCUGCGCCAAAGUAACACUUGGUUCUGAAGCUGACACUGUUCUUGGAGGAGUGAAGAUCGGAGCUAGGCUUUCAUGGUCACGACCAGGAAAACGUACCCCUCUAGAUCUCAAACUCUUGUAAGUCUCUUCAUACACAGGUAAAUAGCGAAGCUCACUCGAUGAUUCUCCCCAAGCUUCAAUUAACACCAGCGCUUUGUUUCGAUUGUUAACAACAGUCUGAGGGUCAUCAAUCAACCUCACCAUCUCAUCCAGAACCCUCUCAGCUGCAAUCUCUGAGAAUGCCUUCUCGCAAUUCUUUGCAAUAGUUUCAAGUAACACCAACCCUAAGUACUGAAUCCUGGGGCUCUUCAACAUUAAUCUUUUCUUCACACCCCGUAUAAGUUCAACGCUAUUAAUUCUUUCGUGAUUUAUCAUGUCACAAAGCUCAAGAUUCAUAGCCCAAUCAGGUUCAUCCAGAGUUUCAGCCGUGGCUUCCUCAACAAGUUUAUCA